UCGGGACCUAAGCCGAGGCCGAUAGGCGUAGGCGAUGGACAACAGGUUGAUAUUCCUGUACCAGUUCUGUUUGUUUGAGCAAUGGAGGGUCGCAGUAGGCUAAGGAAUGCAUGCGAUUGGAAGUGCAUGUCCAAGCAAUGAGUCUUGAGUAGAGUUAAAUGCUUUACUCUUUAAGGACAAGUUGUGACGGGGAGCGAAAUAAUAGUAGCGAAGUUCCUGAUGUCACACUGGCAAGAAAAGCUUCUAGUGAGAAUACAAUGGCCCGUACCGUAAACCGACA
Molecule: ribosomal RNA, 280 nt
Filed under: Cronobacter sakazakii
Lineage: Bacteria; Pseudomonadati; Pseudomonadota; Gammaproteobacteria; Enterobacterales; Enterobacteriaceae
Description: partial 23S ribosomal RNA
Rfam family: Bacterial large subunit ribosomal RNA
Source: RNAcentral